This is a non-coding RNA of Podarcis lilfordi (Lilford's wall lizard), 69 nucleotides long. Lineage: Eukaryota; Metazoa; Chordata; Lepidosauria; Squamata; Lacertidae. The record is from the annotation of a GenBank genome assembly.
GGAUAGCUAGCUGGUAAGAGCAUGGUGCUGAUAAUGCCAAGGUUGCAGGUUCAAUCCCUAUUAUAUAUA